Misgurnus anguillicaudatus (oriental weatherfish) is the source of this 2257-nucleotide non-coding RNA. The record is from RefSeq and is a predicted model, not a curated record. Lineage: Eukaryota; Metazoa; Chordata; Actinopteri; Cypriniformes; Cobitidae.
UACAUCCAUCAUGGAGAGUAUUGUGUAAACCUCCUGUGGAGAUCUUCAGUGUAGAGUUGUAUUAUAGCCUCAAAUAGCUCGGUAUCAAAGUUUAAUAAGAUUGUUCUGUCCUGUAAUGCUCAUGAUGUUUUUCAUAUGUUUUUUGAAUGUCCAAGACUUGUUCCUUUAUUUGUAAUACUUGAAAGUUGAUCACAAAAUUGGGGUUUUCAUAUAACAAUACCUUAGUUUAUAUUAGGAUAUAAAUAUAAAAGUUCAUGGCAACAACAAUGAUUCUUGUCAUUUUUUAUUGGCCCAGCUAAGGCCUAGUCCACACGGACAUGGGUAUUUUUAUAACCGGAGUUUUUCCUGUUGUGGUUUAAAGAAAAUCCACUCCACACAUGCUCGCUUAAAGAAAUCUCUGCCCACAUGAACAUGGAACAACACGUAAUUACACGCUGUCAAGAGCAUGCCACACCGGCAGGCGGUGAUAUAACUCAAAUCAUAAAGCCACCGUGGCCAAUCAGAAGCCUAACACAAGUGACGUUGGAAGGCGGUUUUACUGUCUACACAACAACACUGCACUCGGCGUUUCUUAAAAUACACACCCUGGCAGGGGUUUUCAAAAAUGUUCAGUUUUAGUGACGUGAUACUGCGUGUCUGUGUGGAUGAAAGGCGUAAAAAAGUCACGGUUAUAAAAAUACCCGUGUCCAUGUGAACAAGGCCUAAGUUUGCCAUUUUGAAAUCCCGCCAGUGUAAAAAUGCAGGAAAAUAAGGCCUAGUCCACACGGACAUGGGUAUUUAUAACCUGAGUUUUUCCUCCAAACAAAUCCUGUCCACACAUGCUCAGUUUAAAAGAAAUCUCUGUCCACAUGAAAAAGCAAAAACACUUUUAUAAAAACACGCUUAUAAAAAUACUCAGGUCCGUGUGGACUAGGUCUAAGUCUUUUAUAGAAUUGUGAGUGUCCAUUGAGUUUACAUAUUACAAAUACACAGAUAAUGUUGCUUUGUUUUGAAUGGAGAUGGGGUGUGAGAGAGGCUGACUUUUGUUGUGGAUCUUGUAUCAAAUUUGUCUUAAGCCCUGUUUUCUCUCUCUCUCUCUCUCUCUCUCUCUCUCUCUCUCUCUCUCCCUAUAAUUUGAAAAUUACAUUGCUGUAGUUUGCAAUGAAUUGUGGGAGCAUGCUAAAUGCAAAUUUUACAGUUAUGUCUGCAAUAUUGUAUUUUUAAAAUAGGCUAAUAUGUAAAUGCUACAGGACAACAUGUAAUGACACUUAUUAUUUUAUUUUAUGUAUUUAUUUAUUUAUUGAAAAAGUCAGCUGUGGCACUAGCUUGGAAAUAAAAGCUUUGGCACUUUACAAUAACUGCAAUAAAUGCAGCCUAUUAAAUGAAUUAUAAACAUGCAUGUAGAUUCUGUUAAUGUACAAAUCUUUGUCAAAAAUGUUUGAUAAGAAACACAUUUACACAACAUGUGCGUAGCGCAGUACGUGUGAUGUCACGACGUCAUCAGCAAAUUUGCGCGCGGUGCACAUGCGCAUUGCGAGUUUGCGCAGACAGGUGUCUACGGAGUGGAAAGAAGUUGUUGCAUCUGAUAAUUCUUCAAUCGUGUAGCAGAAACUGCAGCUUACAUGGAAUGAGGAUUAUCGGAUUCACCUACACUCACUGAUCAUCCAAGGUGAAUUGAUGACCCCAAGCAAAUGGAUGUUGUCAUCUGAAGAGAAGGUUGUCCUGGGCCCAUGUUAAGAGGCAUUUGGGGCAUAUCAGACACAUAUCAGAAUCAAGCUGCAUGCACACUUGAGUUUAUUCAGAGAGAAGUUGUGGGCAUCAGUCUGGAAACUGGAUCAAAGAUUUGCUGCUGGAACGUGUGACAAAUAAAGGCAUGGAAUGAACCCAAAUGUAUGAACACUGCUACGAAAACUAAUGGACUUUGAAUGACUUACCAGUUAAUUCCAGUGGAAGUUUUCAAGUUUGUGGUUAAUUUAAAAGAUUAUCUUCAUAGAUAAGCAAUUUAAAGGUAGGCACAGUUAAAACUAUUUCUUGUGUGUUUGUUUAAACUGUAAAUUUAUGACUGAAGUUUGGUCACUAAUAUGUAGUAAUGUGUUCCUUUGUGGUUAAUUAAAUGCUGCAGUGCUUUGUGCUAUUCGUUGUUGUAUUUCCAACGCUAAAGCCUUAUUUUGUGAUCUGCAUUGUAUUGGAGAGUUUUGGAAACUAAUAUUUAUUAUCUUAAUGCAUUGGAAAGUUUUGGACUAUUUUACAAUAAAUGCAUUUGGCUACAUGAUUUUCU